UUUUCGGACGUGCUUCAGUCACGAACCUGCUUAUUGAAGCGUGCAGAGCGCUGUCCGAUAAUG
This is a microRNA precursor of Oreochromis aureus, 63 nucleotides long. The record is from Ensembl. Lineage: Eukaryota; Metazoa; Chordata; Actinopteri; Cichliformes; Cichlidae.